AGUAACGCGUAAAGAACUUGCCUCACAGUUAGGGACAACAUUUGGAAACGAAUGCUAAUACCUGAUAUUAUGAUUUUAGGGCAUCCUAAGAUUAUGAAAGCUAUAUGCGCUGUGAGAGAGCUUUGCGUCCCAUUAGCUAGUUGGAGAGGUAACGGCUCACCAAGGCAAUGAUGGGUAGCCGGCCUGAGAGGGUGAACGGCCACAAGGGGACUGAGACACGGCCCUU
Molecule: ribosomal RNA, 226 nt
Filed under: uncultured bacterium
Lineage: Bacteria
Description: partial 16S ribosomal RNA
Rfam family: Bacterial small subunit ribosomal RNA
Source: RNAcentral